GACGAACGCUGGCGGCGUGCUUAACACAUGCAAGUCGAACGGAAAGGCCCUGCUUUUGUGGGGUGCUCGAGUGGCGAACGGGUGAGUAACACGUGAGUAACCUUCCCUUGACUUUGGGAUAACUUCAGGAAACUGGGGCUAAUACCUGAUAGGAGCUCCUGCUGCAUGGUGGGGGUUGGAAAGUUUCGUCGGUUGGGGAUGGACUGGCGGCUUAUCAGCUUGUUGGUGGGGUAGUGGCUUACCAAGGCUUUGACGGGUAGCCGGCCUGAGAGGGUGACCGGGCACAUUGGGACUGAGAUACGGCGCAGACUCGUACGGGAGGCAGCAGGGGGGAAUAUUGCACAAUGGGCGGAAGCCUGAUGCAGAAACGCCGCGUGCGGGAUGACGGCCUUCGGGUGGUAAACCGCUUUCGCCUGUGACGAAGCGUGAGUGACGGUAAUGGGUAAAGAAGCACCGGCUAACUACGUG
This 468-nucleotide ribosomal RNA is filed under the name uncultured bacterium. RNAcentral's name for it is "partial 16S ribosomal RNA". It matches the Rfam family "Bacterial small subunit ribosomal RNA", at positions 28 to 507 of the family's 1533-position model. The record is from RNAcentral.